CCCAACUAUCCCUAUUAAUCAUUACGGUGGUCCUAGAAACCAACAAAAUAGAACCACAACGUCCUAUUCUAUUAUUCCAUGCUAAUCUAUUCAAGCAAUAGCCCGCUUUAAACACUCUAAUUUUUUCAAGGUAAUGGUCCUGGCUCCCCAACACACCCAAUUAAGGACAUACUGGUUCACCAGAAGGAAGACCCGACAACAGGACAGUACUCGCCAAAGACGGACCGCCCGGCCAAGUCUAAAAUUCAACUACGAGCUUUUUAACUGCAACAACUUUAAUAUACGCUAUUGGAGCUGGAAUUACCGCGGCUGCUGGCACCAGACUUGCCCCAA
RNAcentral lists this unclassified non-coding RNA (333 nucleotides) under uncultured Archaeosporales. RNAcentral describes it as "sequence contains 18S rRNA gene". The record is from RNAcentral. Lineage: Eukaryota; Fungi; Glomeromycota; Glomeromycetes; Archaeosporales.